AGCGAACGCUGGCGGCAGGCCUAACACAUGCCAGUCGAACGAACCUUUCGGGGUUAGUGGCGGACGGGUGAGUAACACGUGGGAACGUGCCUUUAGGUUCGGAAUAACUCAGGGAAACUUGUGCUAAUACCGAAUGUGCCCUUCGGGGGAAAGAUUAAUCGCCUUUAGAGCGGCCCGCGUCUGAUUAGCUAGUUGGUUGAGGUAAUGGCUCACCAAGGCGACGAUCAGUAGCUGGUCUGAGAGGAUGAUCAGCCACAUUGGGACUGAGAAACGGCCCAGACGCCUGAGGGAGGCAGCAGGGGGGAAUUGGGGACAAGGGGCGAAAGCCUGAUCCAGCAAAGCCGCGUGUGUGAAGAAGGUCUUCGGGUUGUAAAGCACUGGGGUCAGGAAAGAAAGCAUGGGCACGAAUACGGUCGGGGGAUGACGGUACCGGAAGAAUAAGCACCGGCGAAAUACGUG
RNAcentral lists this ribosomal RNA (459 nucleotides) under uncultured bacterium. RNAcentral describes it as "partial 16S ribosomal RNA". It matches the Rfam family "Bacterial small subunit ribosomal RNA", at positions 30 to 507 of the family's 1533-position model. The record is from RNAcentral.